This 46-nucleotide small RNA is filed under the name Rhodopirellula maiorica SM1. RNAcentral's name for it is "Acido-Lenti-1 RNA". It matches the Rfam family "Acido-Lenti-1 RNA". The record is from Rfam by way of RNAcentral. Lineage: Bacteria; Pseudomonadati; Planctomycetota; Planctomycetia; Pirellulales; Pirellulaceae.
CCACGGGCUUACGCCCGUGGCUACAUCCUGCCGUCGCGUUGCGACU